AGAGUUUGAUCAUGGCUCAGAACGAACGCUGGCGGCAUGCUUAACACAUGCAAGUCGAACGCGUGGUUUCGGUUCGCCGGGGCCACGAGUGGCGCACGGGUGAGUAGCGCGUGGGAACCUGCCCUGUUGUGGGGGAUAACCGAGGGAAACCUCGGCUAAUACCGCAUAAGCCGGCUGGUCUAGAGAUGGACUGGCCGGGAAAGAUUUAUCGCGACAGGAGGGGCCCGCGUCGGAUUAGCUAGACGGUGGGGUAACGGCCUACCGUGGCGAUGAUCGGUAGCUGGUCUGAGAGGACGGCCAGCCACACGGGGACUGAGACACGGCCCCGACUCCUACGGGAGGCAGCAGCAAGGAAUCUUCCGCAAUGGGGGCAACCCUGACGGAGCAACGCCGCGUGGGGGAUGACGCCCUUCGGGGUGUAAACCCCUUUUCUGCGGGAAGAAGGUGGGGCAACCCACUUGACGGUACCGCAGGAAGAAGGACCGGCUAACUACGUGCCAGCAGCCGCGGUAAUACGUAGGGUCCGAGCGUUGUCCGGAGUUACUGGGCGUAAAGCGCGCGCAGGCGGCGGUGCUGGCCCGGCGUGAAAGCCCCCGGCUCAACCGGGGAGGGUCGUCGGGGACCGCACCGCUUGAGGGCGGUAGGGGCUGGUGGAAUGCCUGGUGUAGUGGUGAAAUGCGUAGAGAUCAGGCGGAACACCCGUGGCGAAGGCGGCCAGCUGGGCCGUCCCUGACGCUGAGGCGCGAAGGCGUGGGGAGCGAACGGGAUUAGAUACCCCCGUAGUCC
Molecule: ribosomal RNA, 786 nt
Filed under: uncultured Sphaerobacter sp.
Lineage: Bacteria; Pseudomonadati; Thermomicrobiota; Thermomicrobia; Sphaerobacterales; Sphaerobacteraceae
Description: bacterial SSU rRNA
Rfam family: Bacterial small subunit ribosomal RNA
Source: RNAcentral